AGCAGCCGCGGUAAUUCCAGCUCCAAUAGCGUAUAUUAAAGUUGCUGCAGUUAAAAAGCUCGUAGUUGAAUUUCGGGACUAAUAUGUCGGUCGUGCCUCGGUACGUACUGGCUUAUUGGUUUCUCCUUUCUGAAGAACCAUGAUGUCAUUUAUUUGGUGUCGUGGGGAAUCAGGACUGUUACUUUGAAAAAUUAGAGUGUUUAAAGCAGGCUCACGCUUGAAUACAUUAGCAUGGAAUAAUGAAAUAGGACGUUUGAUUCUAUUUUGUUGGUUUCUAGGAUCGACGUAAUGAUUAAUAGGGAUAGUUGGGGGCAUUAGUAUUCAAUUGUCAGAGGUGAAAUUCUUGGAUUUAUUGAAGACUAACUACUGCGAAAGCAUUUGCCAAGGAUGUUUUCAUUAAUCAAGAACGAAAGUUAGGGGAUCGAAGACGAUCAGAUACCGUCGUAGUCUUAACCAUAAACUAUGCCGACUAGGGAUCGGACGAUGUUAAUUUUUAAUGACUCGUUCGGCGCCUUACGGG
This 520-nucleotide ribosomal RNA is filed under the name uncultured Glomus. Its description in RNAcentral is "SSU rRNA". It matches the Rfam family "Eukaryotic small subunit ribosomal RNA", at positions 569 to 1094 of the family's 1831-position model. The record is from RNAcentral. Lineage: Eukaryota; Fungi; Glomeromycota; Glomeromycetes; Glomerales; Glomeraceae.